Molecule: ribosomal RNA, 488 nt
Filed under: uncultured bacterium
Lineage: Bacteria
Description: partial 16S ribosomal RNA
Rfam family: Bacterial small subunit ribosomal RNA
Source: RNAcentral
GACGAACGCUGGCGGCGUGCUUAACACAUGCAAGUCGAACGGAAAGGCCCUGCUUUUGUGGGGUGCUCGAGUGGCGAACGGGUGAGUAACACGUGAGUAACCUGCCCUUGACUUUGGGAUAACUUCAGGAAACUGGGGCUAAUACCGGAUAGGAGCUCCUGCUGCAUGGUGGGGGUUGGAAAGUUUCGGCGGUUGGGGAUGGACGCGCGGCUUACCAGCUUGUUGGUGGGGUAGUGGCUUACCAAGGCGUGGACGGGUAGCUGGCCGGAGAGGGGGACCGGCCACCUGGGAACUUAGACGCGGUCCAGACGACUGAGGGAGGGAGCAGUCGGGAAUGUGAGGCAACGGGCGAAAGCUUGACGCAGUGAGGCGGAGUGUGUGACGAAGGCCCUGGGUGCGGAAAGCCGGCUUUUGGGGUGAGAACAGCUGUCGACUGUGACGUGGCGGGAUUGACGGUACCGAAUAAAGAAGCACCGGCUAACUACGUG